RNAcentral lists this transfer RNA (71 nucleotides) under Loxodonta africana (African savanna elephant). It matches the Rfam family "tRNA". Rfam says of the family: Transfer RNA (tRNA) molecules are approximately 80 nucleotides in length. Their secondary structure includes four short double-helical elements and three loops (D, anti-codon, and T loops). Lineage: Eukaryota; Metazoa; Chordata; Mammalia; Proboscidea; Elephantidae. The record is from Rfam by way of RNAcentral.
ACAAUGGUGGUUCAGUGGUAGAAUUCUGGCCCUCCAUGUGGGAGACCCAGGUUCAAUUCCCAGCCAGUGUG